Molecule: unclassified non-coding RNA, 344 nt
Filed under: soil metagenome
Description: partial contains 5.8S ribosomal RNA, internal transcribed spacer 2, and large subunit ribosomal RNA
Rfam family: 5.8S ribosomal RNA (bases 1-119)
Source: RNAcentral
GAUGAAGAACGUAGCGAAAUGCGAUACGUAAUGUGAAUUGCAAAUUCAGUGAAUCAUCGAGUCUUUGAACGCACAUUGCGCCCCCUGGUAUUCCGGGGGGCAUGCCUGUCCGAGCGUCAUUACUGCCCUCAAGCCCGGCUUGUGUGUUGGGCCCCGUCCUCCGAUCCCGGGGGACGGGCCCGAAAGGCAGCGGCGGCACCGCGUCCGGUCCUCGAGCGUAUGGGGCUUUGUCACCCGCUCUGUAGGCCCGGCCGGCGCUUGCCGAUCAACCCCAAUUUUUUAUAGGUUGACCUCGGAUCAGGUAGGGAUACCCGCUGAACUUAAGCAUAUCAAUAAGUGGAGGA